AGCGGCGGACGGGUGAGUAACACGUGGGUAAUCUGCCCCAUACAGGGGGAUAACAGCCGGAAACGGCUGCUAAUACCGCAUAAGCGCACGGGACCGCAUGGUUCUGUGUGAAAAACAAUAGUGGUAUGGGAGGGGCCCGCGUCUGAUUAGCCAGUUGGCGGGGUAGAGGCCCACCAAAGCGACGAUCAGUAGCCGGCCUGAGAGGGCGGACGGCCACAUUGGGACUGAGACACGGCCCAAACUCCUACGGGAGGCAGCAGUGGGGGAUAUUGCACAAUGGGGGGAACCCUGAUGCAGCGACGCCGCGUGGACGAAGAAGUAUUUCGGUAUGUAAAGUCCUAUCAGCAGGGAAGAAGAAAUGACGGUACCUGACUAAGAAGCCCCGGCUAACUACGUGCCAGCAGCCGCGGUAAUACGUAGGGGGCAAGCGUUAUCCGGAUUUACUGGGUGUAAAGGGAGCGCAGGCGGCAGCGCAAGUCUGAUGUGAAAGCCCGGGGCCCAACCGCGGGACUGCAUUGGAAACUGCGCAGCUGGAGUGCCGGAGGGGUAAGCGGAAUUCCUAGUGUAGCGGUGAAAUGCGUAGAUAUUAGGAGGAACACCAGUGGCGAAGGCGGCUUACUGGACGGCAACUGACGCUGAGGCUCGAAAGCGUGGGGAGCAAACAGGAUUAGAUACCCUGGUA
This 682-nucleotide ribosomal RNA is filed under the name uncultured bacterium. Its description in RNAcentral is "bacterial SSU rRNA". It matches the Rfam family "Bacterial small subunit ribosomal RNA", at positions 94 to 792 of the family's 1533-position model. The record is from RNAcentral.